RNAcentral lists this ribosomal RNA (459 nucleotides) under uncultured bacterium. RNAcentral's name for it is "partial 16S ribosomal RNA". It matches the Rfam family "Bacterial small subunit ribosomal RNA", at positions 339 to 795 of the family's 1533-position model. The record is from RNAcentral.
CUACGGGUUGCUGCAGUGGGGAAUAUUGGACAAUGGGGGAAAGCCUGAACCAGCCAUGCCGCGUGAAGGAUGACGGCCCUAUGGGUUGUAAACUUCUUUUAUACGGGAAGAAACACCUCUACGUGUAGAGGUUUGACGGUACCGUACGAAUAAGCAUCGGCUAACUCCGUGCCAGCAGCCGCGGUAAUACGGAGGAUGCCAGCGUUAUCCGGAUUUAUUGGGUUUAAAGGGUACGUAGGCGGAAACUUAAGUCAGUAGUGAAAUCCCGCAGCUUAACUGUGGAACUGUUAUUGAUACUGGGUUUCUUGAAUAUUGUUGAGGUAGGCGGAAUAAGUAAUGUAGCGGUGAAAUGCUUAGAUAUUACAUAGAAUACCAAUUGCGAAGGCAGAUCACUAACUAUAUACCGACGCUGAUGGACGAAAGCGUGGGGAGCGAACGGGAUUAGAUACCCGCGUAGUC